This 251-nucleotide ribosomal RNA is filed under the name uncultured bacterium. RNAcentral's name for it is "partial 16S ribosomal RNA". It matches the Rfam family "Bacterial small subunit ribosomal RNA", at positions 524 to 776 of the family's 1533-position model. The record is from RNAcentral.
GACGGGGGGGCAAGUGUUCUUCGGAAUGACUGGGCGUAAAGGGCACGUAGGCGGUGAAUCGGGUUGAAAGUGAAAGUCGCCAAAAAGUGGCGGAAUGCUCUCGAAACCAAUUCACUUGAGUGAGACAGAGGAGAGUGGAAUUUCGUGUGUAGGGGUGAAAUCCGUAAAUAUACGAAGGAACGCCAAAAGCGAAGGCAGCUCUCUGGGUCCCUACCGGAGGCUGGGGUGCGAAAGCAUGGGGAGCGAACAGG